Molecule: unclassified non-coding RNA, 397 nt
Filed under: Hevea brasiliensis (rubber tree)
Lineage: Eukaryota; Viridiplantae; Streptophyta; Magnoliopsida; Malpighiales; Euphorbiaceae
Source: RNAcentral
UGGGGCAAGUGAAGAUGCUAGCCAUCGCGUUGGACCUGAUGACAGAGAACCCCUUCUUCCCCGUUAGUUAUUAUAGGAUUGGUUUCUGGAGAAACAUCGUUGGCUGGUCGGUAUAGAUAGUUUGGGUUUUGGGUCAUUCUCUCGAUAUUUAAUACCUCAGCAUGCUGAGAAGAUUCUUUUCACCCUCCAGAUAUAGGUACACAAUUCUCUUCAAUGAGAAUUUACUAUAGCCCUUUUUUAUAGUAUAUGAUGAGAGCUCAGGAACCACAGACGUUAAAGUUGAGUUCUGGAUGACUGCGUUAUCAUCCGCUUUUGUAUAGAGUUUAGCUCAUUACCCUUGACGUUAUUAUCGCGUGCAGAGUAUGCUCUGCAUGCACAUCAUUCUCUGUAAAUCUGG